This 497-nucleotide ribosomal RNA is filed under the name uncultured bacterium. RNAcentral's name for it is "partial 16S ribosomal RNA". It matches the Rfam family "Bacterial small subunit ribosomal RNA", at positions 28 to 507 of the family's 1533-position model. The record is from RNAcentral.
GAUGAACGCUGGCGGCGUGCCUAAUACAUGCAAGUCGAGCGCACAGACGAGGAGCUUGCUCCUCUCACGUUAGCGGCGGACGGGUGAGUAACACGUGGAUACCUUACCUAUAUGACUGGGAUAACUUCGGGAAACCGGUGCUAGUUCCGGAUAAUAUAUUGAUCCUCAUUGUUCAAUAGUGAAAGAUGGUUUGGUUGUCUCUCAUCGAUGGCACAGCGCCGAAUUAGUUAUUGGGUAAUGUAAGGGCUAACCACGGCAACGAUCCGUAGCCGACCUGCGAGGGGAGUCGGCAACACUGGAACGGGAACACGGCCCAGACUCCAACGGAAGGAGGCGUUGGGGAAUCUUGGGCAAUGGGCGAAGUCUUGACGGAGAAACGCCGCGUAAGUAAGGAGGGUCUUCGGAUCGAAAAACUCUGUUUUUAGGGAGGAACAAAUGUGGAAGUAACUAUGCACGUCUUGACGGUACCUAAUCAGAAAGCCACGGCUAACUACGUG